RNAcentral lists this unclassified non-coding RNA (3654 nucleotides) under Rhipicephalus microplus (southern cattle tick). RNAcentral describes it as "transcription factor SPT20 homolog, transcript variant X2". Lineage: Eukaryota; Metazoa; Arthropoda; Arachnida; Ixodida; Ixodidae. The record is from RNAcentral.
CGCGCUCGAGUCGCGCUGGAGCUCAGGGUUCAGACACGAAGAAGGCCACCAGGCAGGAAGAAAGCAACGAGCGCUCUUGGAAGGCAGCUCCACCCACAGGGUUGACACGCGGUUCCCCGUCCGUGCCGCAGCUCCUGACUCAUCAGGUUGUUGUCGCCUCACCAUUGAAGUAUCGGUUUUCUGGGCUCCGAAAAGCACGUCAGGAUGUUCGAGCUUCCGCCAGAAGACUUUCUCCAGAAGCCGAGAAAGGGCGAGCCCUCGACAGUGAAGGCCGUUGUACACAACCAGUACAACUCGCCCCUGCAGCUCUACUCGCAGGAAAAAGUCGCCGAGACUUUGGCCUAUCACGCCCAGGCCAUCACCGCCGAGGACGGGGUCAACAACAUCCAACCCGUGGGGCUGCCCCAGAACCUCGUUCGCUCCGCUGUCCUACAGGCUCUGAGCGAAGACGACAUUGGUGGAAACCCAUAUCGAACCGCGAACGGGACAACUGCAGUGCAGAGGACUACUGCUCCUCCAACACCUCCACCGAAACCGCGGCCUCCAUCUUAUAGCGGAGGACCGCCGCAACCAGAGAGGCCGUACUCUUCGUCCGGGCACCACGUGACAUUCUCCAACCCGGGAACUCCCGGCACGCCACCUAUCCAGCAGCAUCACACCUACAUACCACCUCCACCACCACUGCAUACCUACCAGCAGCCUAGCUACCAACAGUUCAGCUACCAACAACCAGCUUAUGAACAGCAGCCAGUUUACCAUCAACAACCAGCCAGCUAUCCGGUGCAGCACGCGCGGCAGAGCAGCUACGAAGAGGUCGAUCAGCGUCAGCAGCAGAUUCGGGAAGCCGAGUUGAGGCAGCGUCAAUACGAGGAAGAGCGGCUGCAGCAGGCGCAGUACGAAGAAGGGCGCUUCCGCCAGCCGCCACAGGACUUCCGGCGUGUCGAGUUUGAGGCCGAGCAGAGGAGGCUUCGCGAAGAAGAGGAGCGCCGCCGACGCGUGAUUCAGGAGGAAGAGAGCAAGAGGCGCCAGGAGGAGGUAUUGCGCCAAAGGCGACUCGAGCAGGAGGAGCAGGAGCGCCAGCGGCGUCAGGAGCAGCAGGAGUACGAGCAGUACCAGCAGCACCAGCAGCAGUACCAGCGAUACCUCGAGGAGCAGAAGCGUAGGGACGAGGAGCUGAGGCGGAGGAACUUGGAGCAGAAUCAAGUACAGCAGCAAGAAGCCGCCCGCCGCCGGCAGCUCGAGGAGCAACAGCGAAGAGCGCAGCAGCAGCAGCAGCAGCAGCAGCAGCAGCAGCAGCAGCAGCAGCAGCAGCAGCAGCAGCAGCAGCAGCAGCAGCAGCAACAACAUCAGGUGCGCUUCCAGAACGCCCAGCGGGAACCGCUGAACGUGCAGCAAGCCCAGCAAGAGGCCCAAAGGCGCUUUCAGCCAAGUGCAGCUGUGGCCAGCUCGCCCCAGCACCAGGAGCAGGUGGGCUCUCAAGCUCAGCGCUGGGAGACUAGAAUCUGGGAGGAACAGCAGGCCAGGAUGCCCGGCACACCACUAGGAUCGCCCACCGUCUCACGCCGGGCGCGCGACAACGUGUGGCCGCCAAAGGAAUCGAGCGUGCGAUGGACUCCUAAGACGGGAUUUUCUCCGCAACUGACACGUCAAAGUUCGCAGGGCGCCAAGCAGUUCGUGUGGCCACCGCCAAAGUCCGGCGUGGCCAAUGGAGAUGACGGCGGCUUCCCGUAUCGGCCUCCGAGCCGCUCGGCCGUGAACGCGUGGCACCCGCCACAGUCGCCCACGUCGGGCUCGCGGACGCCGCCGUUCGCGCGCUCCCCGUCUCUGGGUCGCCGCACGCGCGACAUCGCCUGGCCGCCGCCACAGCCCGAGGCGUCGCCCAAAUUUGUGCCGCGGCCCGUGAGCCGCAGCGGCCUGCACCGGCCCGACGAGUUCAUCCAGCAGAACGCCAGCUGUGGCGUGCCGCCCACCUACAGGCCACCGCCAAAUUCCUCCCAGUACCUGUAGAUCGCCUUUCCUCGGAGCCGCGUAGGGUUCCCCUACGUUCUCCCACCGUACAGGAGAUGUGCGGGAACGCUACACAACACCUCCACGCCCUAACACUGCGUGCCGUCCCGUUGUUCCCUCCGUUUUCCCUUCGCGCACACACGCUUGCUCCUCAGACCACGGCCUCUUUCGCGUAAUUUUUAUGCUCACGCUAGUUGCCGAGCUAAUCUUAAUGAGCCAUUUUAACAACACAUAUUUGUUCAUUCGUCUUGGGUGAUUACCAGUCAGAGACUCGCAGCAUGAAUUUUCCUUGCGUGUGUUCAUGUCAUAAACUUUGCGUCAGUGAUUUAAUUAAAGGUAACGGCGUAUUGGGCUAUAUUAGAGCUGGAGGCCGUGGUCUGUGGAGCCGGUUAACACCCCGACGUGGUAUGCUAGAUAAAAUAUGGGGAGUGUUUAGGUACGUGGCAUUCCUGGUGCAUGUUCUUCUAACGUUCUUGGGUAUCUUUUUUUUUCCUUGAACUAAAGACAGCUUUCUUGACCGCCUGCUCGAAACUAUAAGGCGUGGUAGCGAGAAACAGUUGAUAAAAAUACAAAUAAAUUACUAGCAUGAAGUUUACACAAGUAUUAAUUGAAAUGAAAGAAGAAAGCUGCCAGGUUGACGCAUUUAGAAUAUGCUCAGCUGCAAAUGUAUGAUCCAUCCGUGAACAGGAUAGUAAACAACAUGCGGCGAGAACUUGCACCAGAGAUGCAACUUUUUUUUUGUUUUCGCGCGGCACACACACAUUUGAUAAACAGGCUGCAAAGAAUUGGUGGUAAUCUUUAUCAGACCGAGAAACUAAAAGGGGAGGUUGUUGCCGACGAGCUGAAGGAGAUACAUCAUGGGCAGCUGCACCGCGGGACUUGUUACAUUUUACAAUGUCUUUUUUUUAGAGAGACUUUCUCGAGAAGUUCGAGUUUUUCACUACUUAUUUAAGUUUGUCUGUGUUAUGUAAAGCCCGUCCAUUCGCGGAUCGUACAUGCGUUCUCCACCAUUGCCCGGUAGGCCAUUUGUUUUAUUCUUAAGUGGAAACCAAUUCACAGAGCACCGCUUACGCAUGGCUGUUCGUGGAAAAAAAGAAAUCAUUUUUUUAUAAUUAACAAUAUACGAGAUGAAAAGCUUUUACAAACUACACGCGCGUACACUUUAAAAGAAAAGCUGUGAUAAGGUACCGAAGGGCAAAGUGUUUUCACAUUUCGAGUGCCAAUUACAUUUUUUUGCCAAGGUGGCUUGAUGAACUAACAUCUAUUGCCCUCCGUCUUCUGUCUAGGAUUAUACAACGACGCAGCUGUUUUUACUCUGCACAUAUUCUGCCUCAACAUUUACUAAAACAAACAAACGCAUACUAACACUGACUCAGGAGCAGCGGGCCACAGAUCACGCCUUUACCAAGCGGUGUGCUGUCCUUGUUAAAGUCGGGACGCCGAAUGCGCAUGUGAUGCGUGACCUGCUACCUCUGUCAGGAAAAGAGAAGGAACAUUAUUAGGCUCUUGCAAAAAUCUCGGUUCAUAACGCCAUAGCUUUAGGCAAGCACGCAUUUUCUUUUUUUUUUCUGUUAUCGCCUCUCUUUGGGUUCUGUUUUUUUACGUUUAUGUUUGAAUAAACGAUGAAGAGACACUUCUUGUUGGUGA